UACAGAGGGGGCAAGCGUUGUUCGGAAUUACCGGGCGUAAAGGGCGCGUAGGCGGCCUUCUAAGUCGAACGUGAAAUCCCCGGGCUCAACCCGGGAACUGCGUCCGAUACUGGAAGGCUUGAAUCCGGGAGAGGGAUGCGGAAUUCCAGGUGUAGCGGUGAAAUGCGUAGAUAUAGGAAGGAACACCAGUGGCGAAGGCGACCACCUGGACUGAUACUGACACUGAGGUGCGAAAGCGUGGGGAGCAAACAGG
Molecule: ribosomal RNA, 253 nt
Filed under: uncultured bacterium
Lineage: Bacteria
Description: partial 16S ribosomal RNA
Rfam family: Bacterial small subunit ribosomal RNA
Source: RNAcentral